This 237-nucleotide ribosomal RNA is filed under the name uncultured Lachnospiraceae bacterium. RNAcentral's name for it is "partial 16S ribosomal RNA". Lineage: Bacteria; Bacillati; Bacillota; Clostridia; Lachnospirales; Lachnospiraceae. The record is from RNAcentral.
GGAGUUUGGGCCGUGUCUCAGUCCCAAUGUGGCCGAUCACCCUCUCAGGUCGGCUACUGAUCGUCGUCUUGGUAGGCCGUUACCCCACCAACAAACUAAUCAGACGCGGGUCCAUCUUAAACCGAUGAAUCUUUUCCCACUGUGCCAUGCGGCACUGUGGGCUUAUGCGGUAUUAGCGGUCGUUUCCAACCGUUAUCCCCCACGUCUAAGGCAGGUUACCCACGCGUUACUCACCCG